GGGGGGGGGGCGACGCAGCUGUUAGCUCCGCCUCCUCGCUGCGCCCCUAGGCUUCAGACCCCCGCACCUUGGAGCUGCAGCUCCCGCCUUUUCUUCCUCACUUAGCGGCGGAGCAAGCUUUCCAGACUCCUGCCCUCCCCAGCUCCGCGCACCCGGGCCAAUUCCCAGAUCAAGGCCCGGGGGAAAUUUGGCUCUCGCCGCCGCCUCCGGGGUCCACAGCCCCACCCCCCGUCAUGUGAUCAAGAACAGGCCUUGCUUCCCCGGACUCCAGUGGCUCAGCUCUGACCCCACCACUGCCCUGAGGAACCCCAGAUGCGGAGCCUUGAGUUCAAACCCAGCCCUCUAACGGACACAUCUGUGGCCGCCCUGGGAGAUCAGCCCAUUCGUGUGCUUGCAAAACAGCCCAGCCUGCUUUGGGAGAACGCUGCUGAUUUGCCAGCAUGAGCUGGGGCUGCUUGGUGGACGUUGAACCUCCCCUGCCCUCCCUGCAAGCUUUCCGUUUUCUCCUGCAUGCAAUGGAGGGAAUGGUGCCCAGCCCUUGGGAUGACUGGAAGACACCUGGCACCAAGCCAGCAGCCCCCUGAAGCCUUUUUAGACUUAGGUUGCAUUUAGGGCUCAGCCACAGAAGCACAGCAUUUUUGAGCUGGAGGGGGCAGACUCUGGAGAAGUCCAGCUUGUCUGUGGUCAAAGCCCAGCAGGACGCAGAGGCGAGCUGGACUCUGUUGGGAGGCACAGACACGGUUCUCCCUGCUACACGGGGACAACAGUGGACACCCAAAACGUUCAACCCUCAAAGCAGCAGCCCACGAGAGACGUCUGCUGAGAGCAUCCCACAGAAGACGCAGUCAAGUCCAGGCAGAGAAUCUGGAUACGGAAGAGUGGACAAGGCAGACCUACACCUUCAACUGCACGCUCAGCACCUCCUCCCCAGCCUCCCCGUCUUGCGGAAAGGCACCCCAAACGCCCAGCUGCUAGUACCAAAAAUCUGGUAUGCCUCACUUUCCUUCAUCUUCCACAUCCAAUCUGUCAGCAAGUCCUGUGAGUCCUAUGUCUGAAAUACACUGAUUUGACUCAUGGUGCUCACUCAGUCCUGUCCGAUUCUUGGCAACCCCAUGGAUGGUAGCCCACUAGGCUCCGCUGUCCAUGGGAUUUCCAGGCAAGAUUACUGGAGUGGGUUGUCAUUUCCUCCUCAGGGGGUCUUCCUGACUCAGGGAUCGAACCUGCGUCUCCUGCAUCUCCUACGCUGGCAAGCGGAUUCCUUAGUACUGAGCCAUCUAGGAAGCCCCAAUUUGAUUGCUCUUCACCAUUUCCACUCCCGCAGCGGGGCAGCUCAUCUCCCCUCUAUGGACUACUGCAGUAGCCUAUCAUAUUAUAUCAAUAUGCGUGCCCCUCCAUUCCCUGCUUGUGAAACCGGUUACCUUAGAUU
This is a long non-coding RNA of Bos taurus (domestic cattle), 1426 nucleotides long. The record is from Ensembl. NCBI's taxonomy places the organism in Eukaryota, Metazoa, Chordata, Mammalia, Artiodactyla, Bovidae.